GGAAUAUUGGGCAAUGGGCGCAAGCCUGACCCAGCAACGCCGCGUGAGGGAAGAAGGUUUUCGGAUUGUAAACCUCUGUCCUAUGUGACGAAGGAAGUGACGGUAGCAUAGGAGGAAGCCCCGGCUAACUACGUGCCAGCAGCCGCGGUAAUACGUAGGGGGCGAGCGUUGUCCGGAAUUACUGGGCGUAAAGGGUGCGUAGGCGGCACGGUAAGUUGGAUGUGAAAUACCCGGGCUUAACUUGGGGGCUGCAUCCAAAACUGCUGAGCUUGAGUGCGGGAGAGGAAAGCGGAAUUCCUAGUGUAGCGGUAAAAUGCGUAGAUAUUAGGAGGAACACCGGUGGCGAAGGCGGCUUUCUGGACCGUAACUGACGCUGAGGCACGAAAGUGUGGGGAGCAAACA
RNAcentral lists this ribosomal RNA (402 nucleotides) under uncultured bacterium. Its description in RNAcentral is "bacterial SSU rRNA". It matches the Rfam family "Bacterial small subunit ribosomal RNA", at positions 358 to 774 of the family's 1533-position model. The record is from RNAcentral.